This 72-nucleotide transfer RNA is filed under the name Marmota monax (woodchuck). It matches the Rfam family "tRNA". From Rfam's summary of the family: Transfer RNA (tRNA) molecules are approximately 80 nucleotides in length. Their secondary structure includes four short double-helical elements and three loops (D, anti-codon, and T loops). The record is from Rfam by way of RNAcentral. Lineage: Eukaryota; Metazoa; Chordata; Mammalia; Rodentia; Sciuridae.
UGGGGUGUGGCUCAGCGGUAGAGCACUCGCCUUGCACGCACGAUGCCCUGGGUUCGAGCCUCAGUACCACAU